Tachyglossus aculeatus (Australian echidna) is the source of this 117-nucleotide small nuclear RNA. RefSeq annotates it as U5 spliceosomal RNA. The record is from RefSeq and is a predicted model, not a curated record. NCBI's taxonomy places the organism in Eukaryota, Metazoa, Chordata, Mammalia, Monotremata, Tachyglossidae. The transcript has a single exon.
ACCUUUGGAUUCUAAUCUCAGGUCCCAAAUCUUUUGCCUUUUACUAAAGAUUUCCAUGGAGAGGAGUAACAGAGAAACUGAAGGCAAUUUUUGCAGGCCUCCCAGGUGGUGGAGCCU